CAAGUGCAGAGACAUGGAGAAAUUACAGCUGUGGAAUUUGCACGAAUCACAUGAAACCAGCAUGAGAGUCAGCACCUCCAAGUCUGAGGUGCCUCUGUGUGGGAUGAGUAUUUUAGGAUCUUGCCUGUGUAGAUUCUCAGUAAUCCAGGCCAUGGUAAUCCCAGGAGCUUUCGUAGAAAGCAACUGGACUCCUCUUCAGUUUCUUCAAAGAACCUAAAAGAGCAUCCUUCCAGGAUCUUCAAGUUCCACAACCAGGCAGGCUUUGAGAAAAUUGCCCAGAAAAUUCAUUACUAUGGACUUCUCUCUUAGGUUCUUGAAAGAACCUAAAACCUACUGAAGCUCCUAGGAUUUGGGGAUGUUGUUCAAGAAAAUGGAGCGUGAAAUAGACAGACAGAUUGGUGAAGCAUCAGCAGUGAUGCAGCCGUUGUGCCAGGCUGUGGUGAAGAUGGAGCUGAACCGGGAGGCACAGCUCUCCAUUUACCCGUCGGUCGGUGUUCCUCUUCUUUCAAAACCUGAACAGCAAAUUAGCACGUUAGCAGUACUUUUCUAUUUAUGCCUCAGACAAACUAGAGCAGGGGUAGCCAACACGGUGCCCGCAGGCGCCUGGUUGCCUGCAGAGACCACGUGAGUGACACAUGUUCUAAAAAUAACACUAGUCACCAUGAAAUUCUUUAUAAAAAAAUAUAGUUGCUGUUCUUUUUGAAUCGAAAAUACUUAUAUUAAUGCAGAUUUUAAAUUACAAUAUUUAUUAUAUAUUUUUUUAAAAACAAAAAUGUCUUUGGUGUAAAUGAACUUUCACCUUGUCCGAGUCAGAGUUCACUGCGCAUGUCAAACCACCACGUCACUCUGCUGAAGCUUCCGGACGCAGCCACUUUGGGAAGCUAGAUGUGGUUUUUACCCCCAAAACAUGACAGAGAAGUGAAAGAGAAAACACUAUUUUCACGAUGACUGGGAGGAAGAGUUAUUUUUCACGACAGUGAAAGACAAAUGUAUGUGUCCUAUUUGCGGGGCGACUAUUGCGUCCGCCAAGCGGCACAAUGUGGAGAGACGCUACUUUAGCCACCACAAAGCUUCCAUGCUAACUAGCCAUGCUAACUAGCCACCUGGUAGCGCACAUAGACUGUUUGCGCACUAUGGACAGGAAAAUCCCGUUACUUAAAGGCAGCUUUGACAUCUACUACGCGGCGAAAAGUUUCUUCGUGGAGAAAAAUGUACCAUCAGAAAGGCUUGUUUUACUGACGACAGACGGGGCUCCUCCAUGACGGGUCGGCAUGCAGGCUUCAUUGUACUAUGCAGAGGUGAUCCAGACUUCCCAACAUCCCUACAUUACCACUGCAGCAUUCACCAGCAGGACAUAUGUAUGUACAAAAAUGACUGGAUUUGAUCAUGUGAUGACUCCUGUCGUGAAGAUCAUAAAUGGCUCCAAAGCCAAACAACCAGGACAUUGAAGGUGCUGCUGGAGGAGCUGUUAGCUGAACAUGGUGACCUGUUAUUACACACAGAAACCCCAUGGAUCAGCAGGGGACCAGUUUUGCAGCGUUUUUUGUCACUGUUGGCCGAAAUCAAAGAGUUGAUGCAAUCCAAAGGGGAAGACACCUCGCUGUUUGAGGACACUGAGUGGAUUCUUGUCCUUGCAUUUUUAACGGACAUCACUGAGAAACUGAACCAUCUGAACUGUGAGCUGCAAAGUAAAGGCUACAGACAGAAGGGUUUCAUAUUAUCUCAGGGCUUAUCACUGAGAAUAAUAUGUGAUUUUAGCUGCUGUGAAGAGCUGUGAAGAUGUAUUGAAAAUGUUCAGAGGGAGAUGAUGUCACAUCUGGUCCAGCUGAUGGAAGGUCUUGAAGUUCUCUGCAUGGCCUCGACUGAAGAUGGUCGUCUCACUGGAUUUAAGGUUCAGAUGCUCAGUAAUAAACUCCACCAAUGAGCCAACAGGGAAGCUUUAGGUUUAUUAAAUGUUGCUAUGAAGGUUUUGCUGUGUUUCUUUGUGAAUGCGAUGUGCUCCAACUGAAACUUGAAUUAGAACUUAGAAGUAAAUCCUUCCAUCUGAAAGGAUUUAGUUGCAUUAAUAACCUCAUAACAUUCUAAUUUUUAUUCCAGUCUUGGUUGGAAAUAGAAUCUCUGUAUUGAUUCAGGUAAAAACUGAACUUCACAGCAUGUUGCAGCAAAACAACCAGAUGAAAACUGUGAUGGUGUUGGAUUGUCAGACCGUAAUGUUGCAGCUCAAAGCAGCUUUUCUAUCUCAGUUCAUUCUGACAUUCAGCUAUGAAUCAACACAGCAGAUGGUGAUCCAUGCUGUGGAAGUCUCACAUCUCCUGAUUUAAUGGAGCUGCUUUGCACUUUUUACACUGUUUAUUCACCAACACUUUAUUUAAUAAAAGUCCCAUCUAGUUUUUAUGAGGAAUGUGAUGUUUUAAUUUCUCUGUGAAUAACUGCAGUCUUAUGUAACAGCUGGAGUUGUAACAUCUGUCCUGAUAUUGAUCAUGAAGUAUUGAUCAGAAUAAUUAUGGUCAGCAGUCAUCCCUGAAGUUUUACAUUCAAAUCUUUACUUGUGUUGUGAACUUUGGUAAGAAGCAGAAACGUUAGCGUUGCCAUGGAUACAUGAGUGUUAAAUUCUGUCCAUGUUUCCAUUUUGGGAAAUUCAGUCCAGUUCCAGAAUGUGGAGGAAUUUAGUCUCACAAUCACAGACAACAAAUAUUAUCUGAAAGUCGGUUUAUUAUUGUUGUUUAUCAGCACAAUACAAAAAGAUUAAUGUUAGAAAUAUUCCAGUUAAGACUCUGGAAUAUCAUGAUUUAUGUAAAUUUACCUCAAUAAUAUGAAUGUUCAGGUUAAGAUUGUACAGUGAUAUUUAUUAUGCAAGUUUAGCUGAUUAAAGUUUAUGAUUCUGCACUAAAAUAUUAUUUAAAUUGACAUCAUUAUUAUAAUAUUUAGGGUCAGACCCUACAGUAUUGAGAUUAAGAAAUCAAAUAUUCUAUAAAAUGUAAAUACACUGAACUCAUUUAGAUAUAUUUA
Long non-coding RNA from Amphiprion ocellaris (clown anemonefish), 3009 nucleotides. Lineage: Eukaryota; Metazoa; Chordata; Actinopteri; Pomacentridae. The record is from Ensembl.